UACGGAGGGUGCAAGCGUUGUCCGGAUUUAUUGGGUUUAAAGGGCGCGUAGGCGGGUGCUCAAGUCCGGGGUGAAAUCCCACAGCUCAACUGUGGAACUGCCUCGGAUACUGGGCGUCUCGAGGGUGGCAGGGGUAUGCGGAACUAUCGGUGGAGCGGUGAAAUGCGUUGAUAUCGAUAGGAACUCCGGUGGCGAAGGCGGCAUACUGGUCCACUUCUGACGCUGAGGCGCGAAAGCCAGGGGAGCGAACGGG
RNAcentral lists this ribosomal RNA (253 nucleotides) under uncultured bacterium. RNAcentral's name for it is "partial 16S ribosomal RNA". It matches the Rfam family "Bacterial small subunit ribosomal RNA", at positions 524 to 776 of the family's 1533-position model. The record is from RNAcentral.